Molecule: unclassified non-coding RNA, 220 nt
Filed under: Hevea brasiliensis (rubber tree)
Lineage: Eukaryota; Viridiplantae; Streptophyta; Magnoliopsida; Malpighiales; Euphorbiaceae
Source: RNAcentral
AGAAUUUCCAAAUCACAACUUGUUUUCUUCUAUUGAUCUCAUGGGAAAAAAGGGAAGGAGACUCGUCAACUUUUUCAUUAUUUUUCAUUUUUACCUUUUCUAUUGAAUCAUAGGCAAAUGGUUAGUUAUUAUAGUGUGUGAUGAGACUUGAAACCAUUUCAUUAAAUCUGAGGCUGGCUGCAGGGCACAUAAUGCAGUUUGCAUUAUUGUUAGUUGGUAG